Non-coding RNA from Oryctolagus cuniculus (rabbit), 17147 nucleotides. Lineage: Eukaryota; Metazoa; Chordata; Mammalia; Lagomorpha; Leporidae. The record is from RefSeq and is a predicted model, not a curated record.
GACUCACUAUCACUGUGCUUGCAAAGUUGUAAUUAAGUCUGCUCUGAUAGAAGUCUGAAUGUUCCUGAAGGUAUUUUUAGAAAUACUGUUCAUUUACUUUUCUCAAUGAAUGGUGUUCAGGGAAGUUAGCAUCAUGUGGUGAGGAUAAUUUUAAAGUGGGUAAUUGAAAAUCUGGAUCUUAGCCUCAGCACUACUAGUUACUUUGUAUCCUUAAAUUUAUCAUUCACUCUCUCUGGGCUUUAUUAUUCUCUAAAACCCCAAUUGGGGGAAAUUAGGAGAGAUGACAUCUGAGAUUCCUUUCAUUGCUAAAUUCUCAAGUUUUAUGACUGCUUUUGGCUAGGAGUUUCAUGUGAUUGAAAGCUGUUCUCAUCUGCUGCGUUAUUUAUUUCUUUUUGAUCAUGGUCCAUAAACUGUAGAGUCACUAAUGUGCAGUCUUUAUACUAAAAUCUUUUUGCACAUAAUUCUGUGGUACUUUUAUGCCCACCAAAACUAUAUGGCAUACCAAAUAUGUUUAACUUUUAUUCUCUUUAUCUAUAUCACAUGUCUUAAACCAGGUCAUUUCUGCAUAUGAAACAUGGAGAUUAUUCAUUUAGGUAAAUAAUAGGAUUUCUUGUGCCAAAUCAGUCAGAGGAGAAACAACUGGUGUCCAGUAUAAUCUGUUGAACUCCUUUAUGAGGUUUCUCAUGAUAUUCUCACUGAAAUUGUAUAGCAAAUUCAGACAUUGGAGUUUAAAUUCUAUUUUCACUUUAUCUGGUUUGUUUUGGUUUACUGUUAAUUUCUUUGGUGUACUCAUAAUAUCUUUUAGAUCCAGUGCAUGUGCUUCAAUUCGUGCAUGAUUGAAAGACUGCAGUGUGUAUGUACUAUAAUGCAAUUAGUACAUGUCGUUUGAAUUUAAUAUGAAAUACUCUGAACAUUUUAGAAUUUGAAAAUAUAAACCAAGCACCUUUUUCCUUUGAGGUCAGAAUUGGAUGCCUUUAUGUAUGCUCAGAUAGAAAGGUAGAAAGUACAAGAGUUCUUGACCCUGCUCCCCACUUCACCUCUAGUCCUGCUCAACCAGAGGAGGUCACUCUUAGUAGUAUGAUGAAUACCCUUCUGCAUGUUUUCUUUCUUUUCCAAAGAUUUAUUUAUUUGGAAGUCAGAGUUACACAGAGAGAGGCAAGGCAGAGAAAGAGAGGUCUUCCAUCUGCUGGUUCACUCCCCAAUCGGCCGUGUCAGCGGGAGCUGAGCCGACCCGAAGCCAGGAGUCAGGAGCUUCUUCCGGGUCUCCCACAUGGGUGCAGGGGCCCAAGGACCUGGGCCAUCUUCUGCUGCUUUCCGAGGCCAUAACAGAGAGCUGGAUCGAAAGUGGAACAGCCGGGACUCAAACCAACCACCCAAAUGGGAUGCCAGCACUGCAGGCGGUGGCUUUACCUACUACACCAUAGCUCCAGACCCCUCCUUCUGCAUAUUUUCUACACACUCUUCAGACUGUGUAAACAUGUAAUGAGUUCUUCAUAUAUCUCCCUCCCAAAUUUUUAUUUAUUUGGAAGAUAGAGAGGGAGAGAGAUCGCCUAUGUAUUAGACCGUUGCCCAAAUGCCUGCAGUAGCUAAGAUUGAGCCAGGCCAAAACCAGGAGCUGAGAAUCCGAUCAGGAUCUCCUGUGCAGGUGAUAGGGCCUUCAUUCAGUUGAGCCAUCACCUGCUUCAUCCCACAGUGUGCAUCAGCAGGAAGCUAGAAUUAGGAGCAGAGCCAGGACUGUAACCCAGGCACUCAAAUAUGGGAUGUAGGUGUCCCAAAUGAUGUCUUGAGCACUGUGCCAAAUGCCCACUCCACAUUAUAUUUUAAGAGCCUCAGUGAUUGGCAGAGGCAAACUGAGGACAGAAUCUGGUACCAUGUCUUACUUGUCAAUAAGGCUGAUUUUAAAAUAGUUUCACUGCCACUUUGUGUUUAAUGUAUUCAUGAGAUUAGAGUCAAAGCCAAGAGCUGAUAGAACAAACUACAAUGAGAGGGCAGUGUUGGGCAUGAUUUUAUCAGCUGUAAAUGACCUUGGACCCAUAGUCCCCCUAGAAACAGCUAGUAAUAGUUGUCUUUUAUUUUAUUAAAUUUUAUUUAUGUAUUCAGGAGACAGAGAUAGGAAGAGAGCUCCUAUAUGCUGAAUCACUCCCCAAAUGCCCACAAUGGCAGUGACUGAACUGGCACUAACGUCAGGUGGCAGGAACACAAUUCCUUGGGCCAUCACCACUGCCACCCCAGACCUGCAUUAGCAGGAAACUGGAGUUGGAAGCCAGAGCCAGGAAUCUUUCCCAGGUACUACAGUGUGGGACACAAGCAUCUUAACAGCCGCAUCCAUUCUCGUAGUUGUCUUUUAAAUAAGGAUAGGGGGAGCAGCUAGUAGGGUGUAAAGGAAAAGAAAAUCAAACCCAAAAGUUAAUUUUUUUUUCUUGCUAACAAAACAUUUUGUGGUUUUGUUAUAUCAAUAGCAAAUCAUCCUCAAUCUGAGUUCUAGCAUUGCUAUUCCCAUAAAAUUUGUCCAUAGAAAUUUUAUCCCAGUCUGUCUGAAUUUGCCUGUGCAUAGUCUUCAACCUGAAUGUUACAUCAGAGUCAAUAGACCUGGAGCAUACUGUUCUGAGUACUUUUUAUGACUGUCUUACCAGCCAUCAGUGCCAUGUUUUUUCUUUGGGAAUGUGAGCUUCAUAACAUGCUACUGGGUUGAGUGUGAGUAUCUACCACUGUCCUAUGUAGUAUUUUUUUUUAAAGGUUUAUUUAUUUAUUUGAAAGGCAGAGUUACAUAGAGAAGCAGAUAGAGAGAGAAAGGUCUUCCAUCUGCUGGUCUUCAUUCCCCAGAUUGCCGCAACAGCCAGAGCUGCGCCAAUCUGAAGCCAAGAGCCAGGGGCUUCUUCCAGGUUUCCCACGUGGGUGCAGGGGCCCAAGGACUCAAGCCAUCUUCCACUGGUUUCCCAGGCCAUAGCAGAGAGCUGUAUCAGAAGUGGAGCAGCCGGGACUUGAACUGGCGUCCAUAUAGGAUGCUGGCACUUCAGGCAACCCUCUAAGAGGGCAAAGGGCUUAGUGUCUUCCUUAAAACUCCAUCCCCAGGGCCGGCGCCGCGGCUCACUAGGCUAAUCCUCCGCCUAGCAGCGCCGGCACACCGGGUUCUAGUCCCGGUCGGGGCGCCGGAUUCUGUCCCGGUUGCCCCUCUUCCAGGCCAGCCCUCUGCUGUGGCCAGGGAGUGCAGUGGAGGAUGGGUCAAGUGCUUGGGCCCUGCACCCCACGGGAGACCAGGAAAAGCACCUGCCAUCGGAUCAGCGCAGUGCGCCGGCCGCAGCGCGCCGGCCGCGGCGGCCAUUGGAGGGUGAACCAACGGCAAAGGAAGACCUUUCUCUCUGUCUCUCUCUCUCACUGUCCACUCUGCCUGUCAAAAAAAACAAAAACAAAAACAAAACAAAAAAAAAAAAAAAAAAAAAAAAACUCCAUCCCCAGAGGGGCCGGUGCUGUGGUGUGGUGGGCUGAGACCAUGCCUGUGGCACUGGCAUCCGAUGUGGGCGCCAGCUCUCUGCUGUUGGCCUGGAAGGGUGGUGGAAGAUGGCCUGGGCAUUUGGGCCCCUGUGCCCACUGGCUAUUGGCUUCAGGACUGCCGUUGCUGCCAUUCGGGGAAUGAACCAGAAGAUGGAAGACCUUUAACAAAAAAAUACAACUCCAUCCCCAGAGUUGAUACUUUUUUAUCUGUCUGGCAGCUAACAGAAAAAUCUCUAUUUUCUAUGUCUUUAUUUAUUUAUUUGAAAACCAGAGUUACACAGAGAGAGGAGAGGCGGGGCGGGGGGUGUCUUCCAUCCUCUGGUUCACUCCCCGAAUGGCAGCAAUGGCCAGAGCUGCACCAAUCCGAAGCCAGGAGCCAGGAGUUUCUUCCAGGUCUCCCAUGCUGGUGCAGGGGCCCAAGGACUUGGGCCAUCUUCUACUGCUUUCCCAGACCAUAGCAGAGAGCUAAAUCGGAAAUGGAACAGCUAGGACUCGAACCGGCACCCAUAUAGGAUGCCUUCACUGCAGGAGGUAGCUUUACCCGCUACACCAGUGCCGGCCCUGAAAUCUCCAUUUUCAAGGCUUGUCUUUAUUUGAACAAAUUCAGAGCUUAGAGAACAGAAUGUUCAUAGGAGUCUUUGAAAAUCUCCAACAUAUUCCUGGAACUCUAGCAGGACACACACAUGCCCAGAGAGAACUGUGAAACCCUAAAACCACACUGCUAGCCAGCCUUGAGGCUCUGUGUGAGUAGGAAGUGAGGACCAAGGCAGAGUGUUAAUUGCCAGCUGGAACACAUAGAAAGCUCCUCUGCAAGGGUUGAGAGACGUUUUAGUUGAAGGCAUUUAAGGAAAUCUUGUUUAAACCGUUAACUAACUACGAAACUAAUGGAACCAGAAACUUCAGAGGUCACACACAAUAAAGAAUACGGAAUGAUUCCAGGAAAGGCAAUAGGCAAACAGUAGCAACAACAAAUCCUGGGCAAGGGAGGGAUUUAAUCUCCAUAGUUGUCACAUUACAUUAUUUAAAACUUCUAAUUUUCCACUAAAAAUUACAAAACUUGCAAGGAAACAGAAGUAUAUGGCCUGUACACAGGAAGAGGAAAUGCAGUCGAUAGAAACUGUCUCCAAGGAGGGCAACACACGGAUUUACAAAGAGUUUAAAUUGCUGCAGUCAUGUGAUACAGUAUUGUUUGGGUCAGUGAGUCACCUAUAGACUUUGCUGUUCUGUGCUUAUACUUCUGCUCACUUAACAUUUGAGCUGCCAGGGCAUGGCUUACCCAGAGAAGCAUGCAUUUCUAUAUGCAUGUCCCCUCUCCGCCCCAAGUCUCCUAUUUCAUCAGCCUACCCGUCACUAAGAUAUGAAAUUUCAUAAGUUAAGUUAAACUGGAAUAUUGUCCCUUAAAUGCAAAUGUUCUUGGGAAAAGCACCAUGUUAAGCAUUUCUCAAUCAUUAAGACAUUUGGGACAAAGCAUUUGUUUGGUAUGUGUAACCACUGAGCUAGUUUGCCAAGAAGAGAUUUUAGAGCCCCAGGGGGAAAAUAGAGCAAGAGAUCCACAGCAGGUGGGGUAGGCCAGAUUACACUGCCUAGAGCUGACAGGGAAAGCCCCUGAGAGGAAGGCAACGCAGUGAGUGGGAGGAGAACGGAACAGGGACAUGGAGCAGGCAGCUGCAAAUUUUACCUUCACCACUUUUGCUCAGAUCCAAUCCCACAGGGGAACACUCUUUCUGGCCAGGUUGGCAAGCACUUCAUAUGAUUCAUGCAGACAGGUCUCUGGUGGGUGUGUGCCUCUCUGCUUUUCAAGUGCUGUGUUACAGACUUUCUGUGACACUGCUUUUACAAGUAGUGAUGAUAGGCCUUAUAAUUAUCCUCACUGUGGCAGCAGGCAUGCUCAGACUGGUUGUGCUAAAUUGUUUCUGCAGCAUCUAGAUCUGUAGGUGAUGAGUGUCAAAAGCCUCUUUAGUUAGGACACCCUCACUAAAUGGGGUAAGACUCAUAAAGACUUCUCCUUUUUGUGUGUUAGGAUACACAAGUGAGAUACUAAGAGGCAUGCUGGAUGCUGUAGUCCUAGUUUGGUUUUCUUUUUGCUAUUGUGUGCAAAUCUUUUAUUUGGCUGGAUUGGUUACCUAGGAAACAGCUGCACAGUAAGAUGGAUUGGCUGUUUGGGGAAUGGAAUUGGCCCCUCCAAGAGGCAAAAUACCUGUUCUAUCAAAAAAGAAUUAGUGGAUGCUAUAGGAACCAGAGUAAGAUAGUUCUGUAGAAGAGCAUACUUAAUACUGGAUGGCUUUAAAUUUAGCUUGUUUUUAAUUCAUUUAAACCCACCAAAUGCUUAUUAAUUCCUGCUCUAUACUCACUGCUGCAGUCAUCUUGGGGUUUUCCACUGACAUAGAAGGUGUAGUUUCCUCUUCAAAAAGAUGGUGUUUGAUUUGGAGUAAAAAGAAGCUAUCUGGAAAGUGAGGUUACAAUUGAAUGAUACAGACUAAAUGUGUGAACAAAUUUAGGAGAAGUAAAAGAUCUUGACAGUGUGAGUGAUGGAUAUGAAUCUACAAGCAGGACAUAAUUCAGUGGUGAGAGUUUAGAUGCUAACCUGGAAUUUACAAUAUUUACCAGUAGCAGCGUAGGCAUCCCCAGAGAUUCCACCAGGUAGUUACUUUACGGAAAAUAUGUGACUAUGAUAUAAAUUUUGCUGGCUUAGAGUCUUAAGAAAAUGAAUUUUAAUAACAAUGUUGGCCAAAACACUGUUUGCACUAGGCCUUGUAUAAUAUAGUUAAACAAAGUAUAUUAUCACUGAAAAUGUGAUGGUAUUAGUUGUGGAAUCUGUGACCAAAACAACAGUGCUAAGAGAUGCUUAAUAAAAUGUUUGCGUGUUGAUUUUCUUAUAUACCUUAUGCCUUCUGCUUGUCCAUUAGCAUUAGCUUUCCUUUCUUCCAGAAUAGAGCUACUAAAUGCUUGGUCUUGAUUUGUUGUGAUUAAGAAUUUUGCAAAUACAGGAGUAUAGUGCUUCUUUUAAAAAAAUUAAAGAUUUAUUUAUUUGUGUUAAAAGUCAGUGUUAAAAAAGAAGAGAGAGAGAGAGAUCUUCCUUCUGCUGGUUCAUUCCCCAAAUGGCACCAACAGCCAGGGCUGAGCCAGGCUGAAGCCAAGAACUUGUUCUGGGUCUCCCACGUGGGUGCAGGGGACCAAGCACUUGAGCCAUCUCCUUCUGCUUUCCCAGGUGCAUUAACGGAGCUAGAUCAGAAGUGGAGUGCCAGGACACAAACCAUCGCCUGUAUGGGAUGCCAGUGUCCCAGGCAGUGGCUUUACUCACUACUUCACGAUGCUGGCCCCUAGCACUUUAAACAUCAAACAUCUGUCAGGUUAUUUCCAGCUGGUUUGUAGACAGCAUAGAUGUAAUUUUCAUUGUCUUACUUGUUCUGUUUAUAUUUACUUGGUGUAGUAUGCCAGCAGGAGAAGAUAAAAGCAGUCCUACUUAGAAAACUUACCAGUCUCCAGGCACAGGAGGUUAAGUUAAAUUUUAUCCCUAAUAUUCCUCACUAUGUCCAUAAAUGGAGAGAGGCAACAUAAGGAUACUCAAAGUAUUUUUUCUUUUUUUUUUUAAUGUAUUUUAUUUAUUUGAAAGAGUUACAGAGAGAGGUAGAGACAGAAAGAAUCUUCCAUCUGCUGGUUCACUCUCAGGUGACCACAAUGGCCGGAGCUGUGCAAAUCCGAAGCCAGGAGCCAGGAGCUUCUUCCUGGUCUCCCAAGUGAGAGCAGGGACCCAAAAACUUGGGCCAUCUUCUGCUAUCCCAGCCCACAGAAGAGAGCUGGAUCGGAAGAGCAGCAGCCGGGACUAGAACAGGUGCCCAUAUGGGAUGCCGGUGCUUCAGGUCAGGGCUUUAACCCGCUGCUCCACAGCACCAGACCCUCAAAGUAUUUUGAAGGAGAGAUAUUUUCAUUAUGAUUUCCUGAACCUAUGACUUUUAAUAUUUACCAGCAAAAAAAAAUUCAGAUUUAAAUCUUAAGUUCUGUUGAUUUGUAGGGUAACCAAUUAAACAUCUUUUGUAUAUGAAGGAAGCUGCUGUUGUUAAGAGGUCAGUGUUGCAUUUUGUCACAGGGUCUUUUGUUGCCUGCAGUUUUUUGUAGCAAUAACAUGUUUGUUUGUUUUUAAAGAUUUUAUUUAUUUGACAGGUAGAGUUACAGACAGUAAGAGAGAGAGAAACAGAGAGAAAGGUCUUCAUUCCAUUGGUUCACUCUCCAAAUGGCCUCAACAGCCGGAGCUGUGCCAAUCCGAAGCCAGGAGCCAGGUGCUUCUGGUCUCCCGUGCCAGGGCAGGGACCCAAGCACUUGGGCCACCUUCUGCUUUCCCAGGCCACGGCAGAGAGCCAUGGCGCACUAGGUUAAUUCUCCACCUGCGGCACCGUUCUAGUCCCGGUUGCUCCUCUUCCAGUCCAGCAAUAACAUGUUUAAUAACACAGUGGUUAAAGUCACUGGUUGGGAUGCCUGCAUUCCAUAUCAGAGUGCCUGGUUUGAGUCCCAGCUAUUCUGUAUUCAAUCCAGCUUCCUGUUAAUGUGCACCCAGGGAGGCAGCAGGUGAUGGCUCAAGUACUUGGGUCCCUGACACCCAUGUGGAAGGCUUGGAUGCUAUUCUGGGCUGUUGACUUGGGCCUAGUCCAGUCUUGGCUGUUGGGCAUCUGGGGAGUGAAUUCGUGGAUGGAAGAUUCAUUCUUUCUCUCUCCUCUCCUCUCUCUUCUCUUCUCUGUGUGUGUGUGUGUGUGUGUGUGUAUGUGUGUGUGUGUGUGUGUGCCUUUAAAUAAAAUGAAAUAAAUAAUUUUUAAAAGAUGAAGCUUAAAAAAUAAAUGGAACAAUGAUAACAAAAAACUAAUUUGUUAGAAGUCUUUGCUGACUGGCCAGGAAUAGUUUUCUGUUAGGAGUUGUUGGGCACUGCUGUGAAUGCCUUCUUUAUUUCUAAAAUUAUAAUAAAAUGCUUUAUCAUAGUUAGACAUUUCUCUCCUCCAGGUUGCUUUUCCCCCAGGGAAACUCUUUAGUGUUUCAAUUUAAGUACAGUCAUGCAACACUUUGAUGCCUACACACCCCUGCCCUAUCACCCUCUUUCGGUUUCAUGCAGUAACUGUGAAACUUAAAGGUUAGCAGUAGUUCAAAAAUGUGUACUGAGGUACAUUUCUUUGGCCUAUGAAGUCAUUCAGCUCCAAGCAGCAUGGAUGACGUUAUGGUGAGGUUUACUCACUUUGUCCCAUCUGCCUUCAUCCUGUUCAUGACAGUUCCAUAAUUAUAAGGUUGUUUGUACCUGUGUAGAGAUCACUAGAUCUAACUAUUAGAUCAUGUGGGAGCAAAAGUAUUAGUUUAUCAUUUUCCUCUCUAUAGUUAUGGUCAGAUUUAGCAUUAGAGGAAAAGAAGACUAUAAGUCAAUUUUGAGAAUAAAACUGAUUUCUUGUGUCAUUUUCUCUCACCACAUUGCUUUAUUUUAAAAAAUAUAUCAAUGACAAAAUAAAAGUUGCACAAAAGCAUCUUCCUUCAAAAGCACUACCUACCCACAAAUACAUUUCUACGCAGAUCCAGCCCUGGUCUGCUUCUACCACAGCAGCUUCCCAAAAUGCUCCUAGGAAUUCUACUGACUCUUUAUAGAAGGCCCUGAUUCAUGGCAAGUCCUGUGAUUUUUGAACUCAGUGUCAUUUUUACUUUUAAUUUGUAUUCAUAUUCAGAAAAUGCAGACUGAAAAAUAAGAGCCAGAAAGCUGUUAUGUUUUCAGUGGCUUCAGAAAUUUCUAUUCUUGUGUUUUUGGUAACUGUUUUCUCAUUUGCAGCUGCUCAUACAAGGGGAAACAAGCAGUUUUGUUCAGAAUCAAUAUUUUAAUCAUUCUUAGUAGGGAAGCAGAGAAAAUAAUUACUCUUUCACCUUCCUGAUUUGAGUUUCAGUAAAUUAAUUCAUCUCAAAUUUGAUAGAGGGGCUCCUUAGUUUUGACAUGGAAAAAUUCUUAUGGAAAAGUAGCACUUUUUUUUUUUUUAAGAUGUAUUUUUUUCAAAGUCAGAGUUACACAGAGAAGGAGAGAGAGAUAGCUUCCAUCUGCUAGUUCAUUCCCAAUUGUCUGCAACAGCCAGAGCUGUGUUGAUCUGAAGCCAGGAGCCAGGAGCUUCUCCUAGGUCUCCCGCAUGGGUGCAGGGGCCCAAGGACUUGGGCCUUCUUCCACUGCUUUCCCAGGCCAUAGCAGAAAGCCGGAUCAGAAGUGGAGCAGCCAGGACUUGAACCAGCGCUCAUUUGUGAUGCCGGCACUGCAGGCAGUGGCUUCACCUGCUAUGCCACAGCACCUGCCCCAAGCACUUGGUUUUUUAAUGUUUGUUUGAAAGGCAGAGGGAGAGAAAGAUCCUCCAUCUGCUGGUCCACUCUUUUUUUUUAUUUUUAUUUUUUAUUUUUUUUGACAGGCAGAGUGGACAGUGAGAGAGAGAGAGACAGAGAGAAAGGUCUUCCCUUUUGCCGUUGGUUCACCCUCCAAUGGCCACCGUGGCCGGCGCGCUGCAGCCAGCACACCAUGCUGAUCUGAAGCCAGGAGCCAGGUACUUAUCCUGGUCUCCCAUGGGGUGCAGGGCCCAAGCACUUGGGCCAUCCUCCACUGCACUCCCGGGCCACAGCAGAGAGCUGGCCUGGAAGAGGGGCAACCAGGACAGAAUCCGGCACCCCGACCGGGACUAGAACCCGGUGUGCCGGCGCCGCAGGCGGAGGAUUAGCCUAGUGAGCCACGGCGCCGGCCUUGGUCCACUCUUCAAAUGCCCACAUCAGCCGGGGCUGGGCCAGGUGGAAGCCAGGAGCUGAGAACUCCAUCCAGGUCUCCCGUGUAGGUGGCAGGGACCCAGGUACUUAACCCAUCACUUUCUGCCUCCCAGAAUGCACAUUAGCAGGAAGCUGAUCAAAGGCAGAAGCAGCAAAGUAGCCAAGAUCACACUGGCAAUCUUGAUAGAUUUGGCAUCCCAAGUGAUGGCUUAACUCAUUGUGUCACAACAUUUCCACUCAAACGCUUGAUAUUGUACAAAAAUGACUUUCACGUUAUUUAACAUGAAAGGGGAGGGACUUUAAAAUUUGCCUUUGUGGGGCCAGAGUUGUGGCACAGUGAGUUAAGCCACUGCCUGCUAUUGCCAGCAUCUCAUAUGGGCAUUGGUUCAAGUACUAGCUGCUCCACUUCUGAUACAGCUCCUUGCUAAUGUGCCUAGGAAAGCUGUAGAAUAUGGCCCAAGUGCUUGGGCCCCUGAACCCACAUGGGAGACCUGGAUGAAGCUCCUGGCUCCAGAUUUUGGCCUGGCCCACCCCUGGUCGUUGCGGCCAUUUGGGGAGUGAAUCAGUGGAUGGAAGAUUGUCUCUAUCCCUCCCUCUCUCCCUCCCCUUCCCUCCCCUUCCCUCCUCUUCCCUUCCCUUCCCUCCCUUCCCCUCCCCUCCCCUCCCUCUCUGUCUCUCUCUCUCUCUCACCUCUCGCAUGUAACUCUGACUUUGAAAUAAAAUAAUCUUUAAAAGAAAAUUUGCCCUAUACUUUGUUGCAGCAUUGCAGUGGUGGGUUUAGCAAAGUGAACACUUGUACAUUGUACAAAAGUUAGUGCACUUAGGAAAUGAGAGGGGAGAUCUACCAAUUUCUCUAACCUUUGUUUGCAUUUGAUAUAAAAUGACUUAAAUAUUCCUUUUUUUAAAAGAUUCAUUCAUUUAUUUGAAGGCAGAGUUAUAGUGAGAGAGUGAGAGGCACAGAGAGAGGUCUUCUAUCUGCCGGUUCACUCUCCAAAUGGCCACAGUGGCCAGGGCUGGACCAUUUGGACGAGGCCAAAGCCAGGAAACAAGAACUUCUUCCAGGUUUCCCACAUGGGUGCAGGCUCCCAAGCCUUUGGGUCAUCUUCUACUGCUUUCCCACGGGCAUUAACAGGGAGCUGAAAUGGAAGUGGAGCAGCCAUGACAUGAACUGGCACCCAUAUGGGAUGUCCACGCUGUAGACAGCAACUUAACCAACUGUGCCACAAUGCUGGACCCAACUAAUGAUAUUCUUAGCCCCAUUAACUUUUAUCAAUACAUUGCUGCUGGUAUUUAAUCUAGUAUUUACUUAUGAUUAGAUAUAUUACAUAUUUCUCUUUACUUUUUUUUUUUUUAAAGAGUUACUUAUUUAGAAAGAGUUAGAGGGAGACACACAGAGAGGGCUUCUGACUACUUGUUCACUUACCAGAUGGCGACAACAGCCAGCUCUGGGCCGGGCUGAAGGCCCAAGCCAGGAGCUCCAUCCAGGGGCCCAAACAUUUGAGCCAUCUUCCACUGUUUUUCCCAGGCUACUAUCAGGGAGCUGGGUCACAAUUGAAGCAGCCAGGUCACAAACCAGCAACCAUAUGAAAUGCUGGCAUUGCAGGCUGUGGCUUUACCUACUACAUAACGCCAGUCCAUCUUCAUUGUUGUAAAAAGUUUUCUCCUCAGUUAAAAUAAUAUACAGUGAGUCUGGGAUCUGGGAAUAGAAAAAUCCCAGUUCUUCCUGUAAGGAACCUCAUCUAUCUUGGUCACUCACAGUUUUCCUGGAACCUAGAUGGUGCCUGACAUAAAUUCUGAGAAAAGUGUUUGUUUAAAGAAUGACUGAGGGGCCGGCACUGUUGCAUAUCCAGUAAAAGUAGCAACAGUUCAAGUCCUGGCUGUUCCUCUUCCGAUCCAGCUCUCUUCUGUGGCCUGGGAUAGUAGUAGAAGAUGGCCCAAGUGCUUGGGCCCCUGCACCUGCAUAGGAAGCCUGGAAGAAAGCUCCUGGCUUCAGAUCAGCUCAGCUCCAGCUGUUAAUGGCCAUUUGGAGAGUGAACUAGCAUAUGAAAGACCUUUCUCUGUCUCUCCCACUCUAUGUAACUCUGCCUUUCAUAUAAAUAAAUAAAUAAAUCUUUAAAAAAAAAAAAAAAAGACCUUGUGGCUGGCGCUGUGGUGCAGUGGGUUAAUGUCCUUGAAGUGCCGGCCCCCCAUAUGGGCACCAGUUCUAGUCUCGGCUGCUCCUCUUCCAAUCCAGCUCUCUGCUGUGGCCUGGGAAAGCAGUAGAAGAUGGCCCAAGUCCUUGGGCCCCUGUGACCACAUGGGUGACCCGGAGGAAACUCCUGGCUCCUGGCUUCUGAUCAGCACAGCUCCAGCCGUUGUGGCCAGUUGGGGAGUGAACCAUCAGAUGGAAGACCUCUCUCUCUCUCUCUGCCUCUCCUCUCUCUGUGGAACUUUCACUUUCAAAUAAAUAAAUAAAUAAAUCUUAAAAAAAAAAAAACAAGAAUGAAAGAACUGCGUUUUGUGAUUUUUGUGAAGUGUGUGGUUUUCUUUAAUGCACUUUUUGCUUUAUAUGUUAGGCAAGGGUGACUGCGUUAGGAAUUUCAGCAGACUGAAGGGAAGUCAAUGCUUGAAUGACUCUCACAGAGACUAAUGAUAUUUAAGGGCCAAAGGGAAGGUGGUGGGAAAUAUUCCCUGGAUGUUCCAGCUCCAUUAAAGUAUUCCCACUUUUUGCAUCUCCCCAGGAGCACUCACUGUGGGCCUUGUGCGACAGUGUCAAACAAUCCACGGACGAGAUCGGACGUGCAUCCCUCCCCGGCUUCCCCCAGAGUGGAUCACCACACUGUUUUUUAUCAUUAUGGGAAUCAUUUCAUUGACUGUCACAUGUGGUUUGCUGGUGGCUUCCCACUGGCGAAGAGAAGCUACAAAAUAUGCUCGAUGGAUAGCAUUCACUGGAAUGAUCCUUUUCUGUAUGGCUGCCCUAAUAUUUCCAAUAGGAUUUUACAUCAAUGAAGUCGGAGGUCAACCUUAUAAAUUACCCAACAACACAGUAGUUGGGUCUUCAUAUGUACUUUUUGUCUUAUCAAUUUUCUUUACAAUAGUAGGACUUCUAUUUGCUGGCAAAGUUUGUUUACCAGGCUGAUGAAUGUCUAAGUUGCUUGAGUCUCUUAUUAUUUUUUAUUUUUAUUUUAUUUUUUUAUUUUUUGGAGGGUGGGGAGGACAAAGGCAAGGCAUCUGAGCAGUCCUCUCGUGGGAAGAUGCUUAGAUGCACCCGAUGCUGAAAGGAGAGAAUGCUUUUGAUUUGUUCUCACUAUGCACUUUGGAUUUAAAAAAAGAAAAUGAGAGCCUUUUUCAUAACCAAAUACAGACAAUGUUGACUAAAUCUCCUGAGCAUAUUCAGGCAGUCAGGUCUGCACUGUGAUAGCAACCUAGUGAAGGAGAAUGCUUUAUUCUGAAAAGCACGUGGCCCUUUGUGACUCUGUUGUUCCGUUUUAACGUCUAGUGAUUCAUUUGAGGAAAAAAAAGUCUAAGUAUUUAUGAAUCAAGGUGGACCGGAGGGAUGCAAGAGAAGUUCAUGUGGGGCUGGCCUCACCUCCUAAAAAUUAGUGUUCACAACUUCCUUGUCAUGGUUUCAGCCUUUGGCACCAGAAUGGAUUGCCGUUGCAUUACUGCACCAAGAAGCCAAUAGAUCAAAACUUGUCUGCUAAAAUGUAUGUAAAAAUUCUGAAAUUCCCUAUUCUCUGUGUACAAAAAACAAAAAUCAAACACUAAGACACAUGUUGUUUGGGUGGGUGGGUGGGUGAAAUCUUCCUUAUAUUUAUAUAAAUAUAUAUAUAAUAUAUAUAUUUUGCUGAUGCAGUAUACAGUGUGUAUAUAUGUGUGUGUGUGUGUGUAUGUGUGUGUAAAUUUAUAUAUGCACACAUGCAAACAGUUCCUGGAAGAGAACUCUGAAUGCUUUGCUAGCAAAACACUGUGGUGUGCAAACCUAGAACUCAGUAGAAAAAAAGCCAUUUAUCUGAAGGCUGCAUAGUGGAGAGAGUCUUCAGUUUACCUCAUUCUUUGUAGCAGCCCUUGAUUUUAACAGGUUUUUGUAAUAGGUACAAAUAAUCCCAUGCCUUUCUAGGUGCAAUUUUAAGUUAAGCUAAAAAUUCUUUGUAGGGUUAAUUUAUUUGUAUAUGAUAGUAGAAGGUAAGAUCUUGUCAAACCUUAUGAUUUGGGGAACCUGACACUAUUUAAAUUAUUGGCAGUUGUUGUCUAUUGUACAGAGAUUCAUUUUUCUACUGGCUCGGUCUGUUACAUUAAUAAUGCGUUUUAUAUGUUCAAGCACACAACUUUACAUAAAUACAAAGCUCACUAAUAAAUAGGCUAUUUUUGGCAUUUGCAACACUAAUUUCACUCUGCCAUAAAAGUUAAAACCUGUGUUCUUUUCAUCUGUAAGCGCUAUUAAUACAUGUCUACCAAAAACCUGAGCAAUACAGUAUUUUCUUUGUAUGCUAUCAGUAUGCCUUUGUUUGCUAAAAAACUAAAAUUUUUCAUUUACUUUAAAGGGCUGUACUAAACCCACAGCUUUUAAGUUUUUUCCUAAAAGAAGCAUUUCAGCUAACCCUUGAAUUCAAAUAGUUUAAAAUGCAGUAUUUCUCUUCUCCACAUUUCCAUGCCUUCAUGUCAAUGCUUAAUUGUUUUUCCUGGUGAACUCUAUAGAGAAUCUCCUGUUGGAAAUGUGGGGCAGGAAGGUGUUUUUUAGCCAUGAAGCUAAGUUCUUCCUCUUCAUAGUGAAAUGGCAACCCAAAUGUCCCUUCCAGUAGAAUGAGAGUCCUGUGUAGCCCAUGCUUCUCACAGGCAGAAGUGAGUGCACUGUUUAAGAAACUGCGCUAUAAUGUACGGAGCAGUCACUUUAGAGAUGAGUCCUCCUCCUUAGAUAUUCAAAGUACAAAAAGGAGGAGUUUGAUGUGUUUCACACUGGCUUGUUUGACACUCAUCUAUCUUACAGUUAAUUCUGCAGUAUUUUAUUGUGAGAGAAAAUCUCAGUGUUUUGGCUCACUGGGGAGUUGGGGAAAGAGGUGGACCCAGCCCUGUGGUGCAUUCCUUGAGUGUUCUAGGGGAAUAUCAUAUUUUUCCUUGACAGUGUAAAAGAAGCCUUUGGGAAAUCCUAAGGGAGACUAUUUUUUCCCCAAGUAUUAUGAUACCUAGUCAAUUCUAAGAAUACCACUGGACAUGUGCUACCGACAUUUGGGUUUGCAUUUUCCAUUUUGAUUGGAUUAGUCUUCAGUCAAAUGGUUCACUUUGAAGGAAAGCUUUGGUUGUCACCAUUAUACCACUGAGAUUAAGUGUUAGCAAAGUAUGGUUUAAAUUAAUUCGUGAUAUGACCAAGAGCUUUUCUCUUCCAAAAGAUGAAUUUUAUUGUAAAUAGUUUCUCAAAAUAUUUUUUAACUGGAUCAUGAGCAUGGGGAGAGAAAGUUUCUCAGCUGCUAAGAAUUUCCCCACUGUUUACUUCCUUCACUUACGGUGGUAUUGCAUAUAAGAUUACUAAAUUUAAGGUUUUAUUUGUAUCUAUUACCCAAACCAUUAAGUUGUCUUUAUUUUCAUCACCAUCUUGGAGGUCCAGUGCCUAAAGGGCUGAUGGGAGGGGAAAGCUCCCUGUAGCCAGUCAGCACUCUAACCCAGGAUUGAAACCAUCCCAUCAGGUAGUAUGUGAAGUCAAGUCUUUGUAUUCUUCCAGACCAAACAAUGAAAUGGACUCAUUCAUAUAAAUUUCUAUAAAUCCUGUAAGUGAAAAACUAGACAACUGUUAGCAGUUGCUUUUAAAAAGGUCACUAUAGUAAGUACCACAUAGUACAGUAUUAAUUUAUAGCAGGAAAUCAUAUCUUGUAAACUGUAUAUAAAACACUGUUUUAUGGUGCAAUCAUUUGUCAAAACUUGUCUGUUACAUUGUUUUUUUAGAGUGUGUGCAUUACUCUCAUACCUAAGAAUAUCACUGUAAAAUCUGCUGAAAACUAUUUUUAGGUUUUAUUUGCACAAGACUGAAUUAGUUUGAAAUUUUUGGAAGCUCCUAUUGAACAUGCCUAAACAUCUAUAAACAUGAAAAAUCUUCAGUUCAUUAAAAGCAAAUGUUUCAGUAUGAUUCUUUCCAAAGGUAAUCCAUGUUCUAUGUUGUUAAUGUGUGUAUGUAAUUCUUCUGACUCUCCCACCUCUUAUAAAUCUAUUUUGUUUCAUUUGUUUUGUUUUUGAAGGAUGGCUCUUUUUUUGUUUCUUUUUAAUGUUCUAGAUGACCAAAACACUUUAUUGGUUUUUACACGUUCACCUAAAACUUUGAUAUCCCCACUUGAUGUUCUGUGAAUUUACUAAUAUCUUAAAUGAAAUAAUAAAUGGUCCUGGUGACAAACAAUCUAUUGACUUAGAGGAGAGGCCAUGAAAAAGUAUUGGAAACUAACUUUGCGUUUACUCUUAGCUAUUAUUUCUGCAUCGUGGGCUUCUUGGGAAGAACAUGUUGCAUUUAUUUUGUCUUUAUUGAAAGACUACUAGCCACAAGUUACUAUCAGUGUAAUAACCGUUUUAUCAGCCCACUUUGAUCUUCUUUUAAAAAUUAAAUUUACAUUUCCAAUUCAAAAUAGUAAACUGUCUUUCAGAAAAUUUUUGAAGGAUAAAAAUACAUGAAGGAAAAAAGUGGCCUGUGUAGGUAGAAUUCCUUACACAGGACUUUUAGUUGUAUCACCUCAAGAGAUUUUAAAGUUUGUGAUCAAGGUCUGUAUAUUUUCCCAAACUUUAUUAAGAAUUGUUUUCUAAUUGGUUAUAACAUUUUUCAAUUAAUAGUUUCAAAACAAAUUGUUAAUACAACUGUACAAAAUGAACAUAAUUUUCUUCACUUGUAUUUUUGUUAUUGAGCAAGUUUAUCAAAAUAAAUUGUCUACUAAAGAAACUAAAAA